Non-coding RNA from Bemisia tabaci, 3801 nucleotides. NCBI's taxonomy places the organism in Eukaryota, Metazoa, Arthropoda, Insecta, Hemiptera, Aleyrodidae. The record is from RefSeq and is a predicted model, not a curated record.
AUACACGACAAGAACACGGAAAUGAAACUCAACGGUCAAUUAAUUCUUAUCGUCAAAAACGCUCCUCUCUCUUCUCUCCGUCCAUAAUAACUUCAGUAGCUCUCAUAAUGACGUACACUCAUCUCAAAAUUAGACCAAAUUAUAAAUCCAGCGCAAAUGAAAUACCAGCCACCAAAACAUGUAAAAAUUAGUAUUCAUAAAAUAAUAUUUUAAGUUAAAUUAAAGUUGAAUGGAAAUUAUGUUAAUUAGGUGCUUAUUUUGAUAGUUCGUGAUAUCUUGUAUUAUAUUAUACCGCACAUUCAAAGGAUAAACUCCAUUCGCACAUCAAUAUCGGAAUUUAAUCCGGCUUGCAAUUCUGUCAGUGAUGAAUCUCAUUCUCGCAGGAGUAUUUAUACUCAAAAAUAAUUUUUAUUUAAUUAUGGUACACGGUGUCACCCUGGAUGGAAAUACUAUACAACACAAAAUGCACAAGAAGGGAAUUACGACUUCUAAAUACGAAACAACCACCAUGAUGGAGCCAAUUGAGUAUGAACUUCAUAGAGAUAAAAUAAUUCCUGAUCUCCCAACUUUGGAUAAAUGUCCAGAGCAUCUCCUGAAAGUGGUUUACGAAGAUGAGUUCACCGUUUCUUUUGGAAAUACUUUAAGGUCGGCUGUAGCUACUGUGGUUCCAGAAAAGGUGUCGUGGUGUAGCGAUGAGCCCAAACUCACAUUCCACACAAUUGUUUUUGUCGACCUUGAUGUGAUGUCACAAGAACAACCUAUUGAGAGAGAGUGGCUGCACUGGAUUGUUGGAAACAUCCCUGACGAUAGGUUACAGUCCGGGCAGACAAUUGCAGAGUACCUUGGACCAACACCAAUGCAUGGUAACGGGACUCAUAGAUAUGUUUUCCAAUUAUUCAUCAAAAAAAAAGGAAAAAUAAAUUUUGAUGAACGCCACCUAGUUGGUCCUACAAGGUAAAUUAAAAUUUGAAUUCUUCAUUCAAUAUAGAAACGAAAAAUUCGUAUAAGAAGGAAAGGAGAAGAAAAAGAACCUUACAGCCUCACUAGAAACUUUAAGUAUACGAUUAUACGUUCAUGAUCAAGCCUUUAUUGGAUAUGUUUCCUGAAGGUUUGAUUAUCGGACUUGUAGGGACUGCAAUGUGGCGCAAGAUUCAUUACAAAUCCAGUUUAAUAAAAGAAGUGAGGCGUUAGGAUGAGAGCACUCCUUACAUUUAAAAUGUGCCUGUCUCACCCCCACCGUCUUAAUUUUAAAGGAUAUCUCCUAGUUUUAGAACCCCUUCGAUUAAAAAUUUUUCGAUUUUCGAUUGGAAAAUACUCAGAAAAAAGUUGCUUCAAUUCUAGUUGAAAUCGCUCUCCUCGAUGGAUGACUUCAAAAAGUUCUUAUUUAUAAGUUCUGUGUCCGUUAAGGAUUAAGGCUGGAUGAAGAGCUUGAAAAUUGCCUUCAUUACUGUGAGAUACUAAAAUGUAUACUUCCCUGCUAGUGCCACGGCCACAAGCUACGGCGAUACGCACUGCGUCAGGCUUAAACAAGAAUGAAUUGGCGACUGGUGUAGGUAAUUUUUUUUUUUUUUUUAAUACAUAGUUAAUAUGUUUAAUUAAAUGAGUAAAAUUAAGAUUAGAUUAGAACAGAAUUAAAUCAUCUACUAGUUAGUUAAUAAUAACUUAGUUAUUAACAGAGUAUUUACAUGUAUUAUUAAUUAAACAUUUUGAUAAUAAAAGUAAUUGAAAUAGAUUUGAUUUUUUGCUAUUAGUUACAGAUUUCUUAAAUAUUUAUGUACCUGUGAUCCGAGACACGCCGGAAUUACCCGAAGGUAUAUCAUCGGCCGGGAGUUGGUUGGCUUCUACUAUCGUUCUAUCAUGUCUUCUACUAUUAUAUACACUACUUUUAACAGUUAAAAUUUUUUUAAUGUAAUUAUGCACUAUCUUCCACUUAAUCUUGCUACUUAUCAUCUCUUUCACAAUAUUGUCUGGUUUUAAAUUAAUGUUCAGUUCGGCUUGAAUCCUCAUUCUGUCAGCUGUGAAUCUUGAGCACUCAAAGAAGGUAUGUUCCGGCGUGUCCCGGGUCACCGUACAAAAUUUACACAUAUCACUAUCAAUAAUCUUAAAUCUCGAUAAAUAUGACCCAAACGCCCCAUGACCAGUAAAGAACUGCGUCAUGUAAAAGUCAGGAUAACCAUAUUCCCUAUCAAGCCAUACCUCUAAAUCCGGGAUGAGGCGCUUGCACCAAACAUCAGUGGGGCUAUCCCUCCAGCGGAUACACCAUCUAUCAAUAAUAUCGUUGUUGAUCUCCACAAAGUCUUCCUCUUUUCUCGACCUCCUAUAUUUCUCCUCCAAUAACAGGUCCGUUGGAGGGAUACCAGAUAGUAUAUCUAGACAAUUCGUAGACGCAGUUCUAUAGGCCAUACAUAAGGCCCGCUUCAUGGGACGAAUGGCUUUAGUUAUUUCAUACAAGUUACAUUUUAGAUUCAUUUCAGGGAAAUUCCCCCAAACAGAGAUGCCAUAGAAAAUAAUAGAUAACACACCUUGAAAUAUCAUAAGUCUUUUCACAUAAGAAGGUCCAAAGCAGUUUGGAACAAUUGACUGUAAGAUAUUAGAUAGUUUUUUAGCUUUAGUACAUACAAUUUUAACAUGAUUAUUCAUUUUUAAACCCUUACUAAGAUGAAAGCCUAAAUGCCUAAGCGACUUUCCAGUCUCAAUCUCUACUCCAUCAACUACAAUUCUGCUAUCUUUAAAUUUAUUUGGAACUUCAAUAAAUAAUGCCUCCGUUUUUUCAGGCUCUAAGGUAAGUCCCUUCUCUUCUAAUUUCUUGCCAAUUUUCUUAGUUACUCUACUACUUUCUUCCAAAAUUCUCUCAGGGUAACUCUUAAGGAUAACAAGGAGGUCAUCGGCGUAUGCAAUUAUCCUAGAUGGAUCGAUUCUAAUCCUAACAACUUCAUCAUACACUAAGUUCCAGAAUAAACUACCAACUACUGAGCCUUGUGCAGCUCCUGAUGAUAAUUUCAUUAGCUCUUCGUUAACAAUAAGAUAUCUAUCAGAUAAAUAGCUCUGUAUAAUUGCAACAAUAUAACUAGGGAUGAGAUUCUUAACUAAACUAUCAAUUACAUCCCCCCAUCUUAAACUAUUAAAAGCAUUUUUAACAUCAAUACCUAUAAGACAUAAGGAUUGCCUAUGUCUACGGGGUAUUAGCCUGUUCUCAUCAUAGAUCUUCUUAAGGGCUUUGAGAGCAUCAGCUGUAGACCUACCACGUCUAAAACCAAAUUGGUUAUCAGAUAACUUCACAAAUUUAAGCAUCCGACCGUAUAAAAUAUAUUCAAAAAUUUUAGAAAUACAGUUAAGCAUACAAAUAGGUCUAAAUUUAACAUCUGGAGUAGUUGAAGGUUUAGGGAUAAGAGCUAACCUAGCCGUUUUCCAUAUUUCUGGGAAGACAGAGGCUUUUAACAGUUCGUUCAGCAUGUCUUUGAUCGCUUUGAAAUUGGAAUUAAUAAAUAUUUUAACUAUCAUAGGGUCAAUAAAGUCAGGUCCUGGGGACUUGCCUGGUCUUAGUCUACGUAAAGCGUCUUUUAACUCAUCAUCUUCUAUCAAGGGAACAUCUUUUACAAGAACCUCGGGUUUCAACCAUUCAAUGUCUUUGUGUUUGGGAAACAGUUUAGUAACAAAUUGUUUGACUUCGAUCUCAGAUAGAGUGGCUUUGGACUUCCGAAGAGCUCAAUUUUCAUCGAGAGAAUUCGCCAAGAAGUAUGACCUGGGUCGACCUUAUGCGGUGAACUACUUUUUGAUCACGUGGCCAGAGGAGCCAGAAUC